RNAcentral lists this ribosomal RNA (248 nucleotides) under uncultured bacterium. RNAcentral's name for it is "partial 16S ribosomal RNA". It matches the Rfam family "Bacterial small subunit ribosomal RNA", at positions 107 to 353 of the family's 1533-position model. The record is from RNAcentral.
UGAGUAACGCGUGGGUAACCUGCCUCAUACAGGGGGAUAACAGUUAGAAAUGACUGCUAAUACCGCAUAAGCGCACAGUGCUGCAUGGCACAGUGUGAAAAACUCCGGUGGUAUGAGAUGGACCCGCGUCUGAUUAGCUAGUUGGUGGGGUAACGGCCUACCAAGGCGACGAUCAGUAGCCGGCCUGAGAGGGUGAACGGCCACAUUGGGACUGAGACACGGCCCAAACUCCUACGGGAGGCAGCAUG